CGGGAAUUUUGGGCAAUGGGCGAAAGCCUGACCCAGCAACGCCGCGUGAGGGAUGAAGUAUUUCGGUAUGUAAACCUCGAAAGAAUGGGAAGAAUAAAUGACGGUACCAUUUAUAAGCUCCGGCUAACUACGUGCCAGCAGCCGCGGUAAUACGUAGGGAGCAAGCGUUGUUCGGAUUUACUGGGCGUAAAGGGCGCGUAGGCGGCGCGGUAAGUCACUUGUGAAAUCUCUGAGCUUAACUCAGAACGGCCAAGUGAUACUGCUGUGCUAGAGUGCGGAAGAGGCAACCGGAAUUCUUGGUGUAGCGGUGAAAUGCGUAGAUAUCAAGAGGAACACCUGAGGCGAAGGCGGGUUGCUGGGCCGACACUGACGCUGAUGCGCGAAAGCCAGGGGAG
RNAcentral lists this ribosomal RNA (395 nucleotides) under uncultured bacterium. RNAcentral describes it as "bacterial SSU rRNA". It matches the Rfam family "Bacterial small subunit ribosomal RNA", at positions 356 to 768 of the family's 1533-position model. The record is from RNAcentral.